RNAcentral lists this ribosomal RNA (405 nucleotides) under uncultured bacterium. Its description in RNAcentral is "bacterial SSU rRNA". It matches the Rfam family "Bacterial small subunit ribosomal RNA", at positions 355 to 774 of the family's 1533-position model. The record is from RNAcentral.
UGGGGAAUAUUGCGCAAUGGGGGCAACCCUGACGCAGCAACGCCGCGUGAUUGAAGAAGGUCUUCGGAUUGUAAAAAUCUUUAAUCAGGGACGAAGAAAAUGACGGUACCUGAAGAAUAAGCUCCGGCUAACUACGUGCCAGCAGCCGCGGUAAUACGUAGGGAGCAAGCGUUAUCCGGAUUUACUGGGUGUAAAGGGCGUGUAGGCGGGCCUGUAAGUUGGGAGUGAAAUCCGGGGGCUUAACCCCCGAACUGCUUUCAAAACUGCGGGUCUUGAGUGAUGGAGAGGCAGGCGGAAUUCCCAGUGUAGCGGUGAAAUGCGUAGAUAUUGGGAGGAACACCAGUGGCGAAGGCGGCCUGCUGGACAUUAACUGACGCUGAGGCGCGAAAGCGUGGGGAGCAAACA